GACAGUCUGAGUCUAAUCUGCGAUUUCUUCUUCGUUGCAGCUACAAAUAACCAAACAUCAGCAGCUCACUCAGAAGAAGAAGAAGAAGUUUUAGCGUUCGUCCCACCUUUUAACAACUGGAGACAGUAUGUGCCAUGAUGCACAGUACACACAGGACCAUGGGGAAAUUUGACAGAGGGGGGCACACGCUGGAUCAAGCUUGCAAGACAUAUUCACAUCAACACGACGAAGUGAGAAGAGUCGCAGCUGUUUGACAGUAAAGAGAGAGACAGCUCGUUCCUCACCAACAACCACACGGACAACUGACUCCAGGCUCCCUUCCAUAAUUCCAUUUUGUAUGUCAGAUGUUGAACAUGAAAGCUAUGUGCAUUUCACAUCCAACAAACCAUCCCAUACCGGCGUGAUAAAUCCAGUCUUCAACUAGAUGGAGCUGGAUUAAAUAUUUUGACUUUUGCUAUCCCAAUCGGACUUAUGACCUGUAAUGCUGCCUGAAUCGUAAUCAUGCACUGUUCGCUGUUGGCCAGAGGAGAACUGGCCCCCCGACUGAGCCUGGUUUCUCCCAAGGUUUUUUUUCUCCAUUUUUGUCACCUGUUGGAGUUUGGGUUCCUUUCCGCUGUCGCCUUUGGCUUGCUUAGUUGGGGACACUUGACAUUUGAUAUUCAACAAUGUUUUUGAUCUGCCUGCAUUGACACCUUUGUAUGCGAACUGAGCUGAGCUGGACGAUGACAUGACUGUUUUCUCCAGAGCUGAUAUAUAGAUAAAUUAACUAAACGAAUAACUAUUGAUUUUUACUAAAUCAAUACUGAAUUUACUUUAGCUGGACAAUGACACCAUUUUCUUCUAGAGCUGCUGUGCAGCCAAAAUUAUUUGCCAGUUAUCACUGUAAAGCUGCUUUGACACAAUCUGCACUGUAAAAAGCGCUUUAUAAAUAAAGGUGACUUGACUUGA
This is a long non-coding RNA of Ctenopharyngodon idella (grass carp), 948 nucleotides long. RefSeq lists it as uncharacterized. NCBI's taxonomy places the organism in Eukaryota, Metazoa, Chordata, Actinopteri, Cypriniformes, Xenocyprididae. The transcript has 3 exons. The record is from RefSeq and is a predicted model, not a curated record.